Oryzias melastigma (Indian medaka) is the source of this 351-nucleotide long non-coding RNA. RefSeq lists it as uncharacterized. NCBI's taxonomy places the organism in Eukaryota, Metazoa, Chordata, Actinopteri, Beloniformes, Adrianichthyidae. The record is from RefSeq and is a predicted model, not a curated record. The transcript is spliced from 2 exons.
GAAAGGCUGGUAAUCUAAAGGGGACUAUAUCCUUGCGCGGAAGGAGACCUGCUCUCGGCUGCUCUCUGCUGCCCUCUGCUGCAUGCACGUGCAGCGAAGGUGGAGGAGGAGUGUUACUACGCAGCUGAAGUGAGGAGCCGCAACAACUCCUUCGACAAGUUACAGGAGUCUAUUGUUUGCUAACGAGGGGAUAAUUAGCGCAUGUACUGGUGGAUGCUAUCAGCGUGCGUCACUGACGAGCUACCACGCAAAGGAAGAAAUAUUGAUGUUCACUCGUACAUCCCAGUUGUUGACCUAAUGUGAAUGGAUGUGAAGAGACAAAUAAAGAUGCAUUCAACGGUGGAAAUCGGA